AUGGCGCUAGCCGGCGCCACCAACGCCACCUUCCGGCCCCGCCUGGUCACCGCCGCCGCUGACACCUCCGACACUAAUACUCGCCGCCGCCACUGGAAGGCCGGCGAGUUCCCAUUUCCCACCACCUCCCCCUCCUCCGGCACGCAGCAGCGCCGGAGACCCCGGACCACGGAGCGCCCGCCCCCACCUCCACCGUCCAAGGGGGAAGACCCGGAAGGGAGAGGGCGCCAGAGGCACUGGAAGGCGGGGGAAGACCCGGAGGGGAGAGGGCGGCAGAGGCACUGGAGGGCGGGGGAGUUCCCGGCGGCGGCCGAGUCCCAAUCCCAGUCCGGGAGGAGGGGCCGCGCUCGCACCCCUAUCAAGAACGUCCAGAAGAGGCUCGACGCGCGCGCCGAUGCCAAGGCCUGGGCCUGCACCGUCACCGAAGCCCUCGCCGACCGCAUCGCCGCCAAGAACUGGCGAGAGGCGCUUCAGGUCUUUGAGAUGCUGAAGGAGCAACCCUUCUACUAUCCCAAAGAGGGCACCUACAUGAAACUCCUCCUGUUGCUGGGGAGAUCAGGCCAGCCUUCUCUAGCACAGCACCUUUUCACCGAGAUGCAACAGCAAGGAUGCCGGCCAACUCCUGAGCUUUACACGGCCUUGAUCGGGGCCUACUGCCGGAAUGGCGUCCUAGACGAGGCACUCAAGCUUCUCGAAUACAUGAAAGCCGCCCCGCUGUGCCAGCCUGAUGUCUACACCUAUAGCAUCCUCAUCAAGGCCUUCGUCGACGCCUCAAGGUUCGACCUCGUCGAUGCUAUGUACAAAGAGAUGGCCGAGCGCUCCGUGGCACCAAACACGGUCACGCAGAACAUUGUUCUCAGUGGCUACUGCAGGGCAGGAAGGCUGGACGAUAUGGAGAAGCUACUCUCGGCGAUGCUUGAAAGUGCAAAUAGUAAACCGGAUGUCUGGACCAUGAACAUUAUCCUAAGCCUGUUUGGGAACAGUGGCCAGGUUGAGCUGAUGGAGAAGUGGUACGAGAAAUUCCGAGGUUAUGGGAUCGAGCCGGAGACUCGGACGUUCAACAUUCUCAUUGGUGCUUACGGGAAGAAGCGGAUGUAUGACAAGAUGUCUGCGGUGAUGGAAUACAUGCGCAGGCUAGCGUUUCCAUGGACGACAGCUACGUACAACAACGUGAUCGAGGCAUUUGCUGAGGCAGGUGAUGCAAAAAACAUGGAGGACACAUUUAACCAGAUGCGCUCAGAGGGGAUGAAGCCGGAUACAAAGACCUUCUGCUGUCUCAUAAAUGGGUUUAGCAACGCAGCCCUUUUCCACAAGGUGGUAGGCAUGGUAAAGCUUGCUGAGAGGCUCGAUGUACCGGCAAAUACAUCUUUUCACAACUCUGUUCUUGCGGCAUGUGCGAAAGCGGAGGAUCUGAUGGAAAUGGAGAGGGUCUUCAGGCACAUGAAGCAUAUGCAGUGUGAACCAGAUGCCAUCACAUACUCCAUCUUGUUGGAAGCUUAUCGGAAGGAAGGAAUGACCGACAAGAUGUACGCUCUACAACAGGAGAACCCAAGUUUGGUUUCGACUGAGCUUGCCAUGGUGUAA
RNAcentral lists this ribosomal RNA (1584 nucleotides) under Triticum aestivum (bread wheat). Its description in RNAcentral is "partial small subunit ribosomal RNA". Lineage: Eukaryota; Viridiplantae; Streptophyta; Magnoliopsida; Poales; Poaceae. The record is from RNAcentral.